GAGUUUGAUCCUGGCUCAGGAUGAACGCUGGCGGCGUGCUUAACACAUGCAAGUCGAGCGAAGCGGCUGAAUUGAUUCUUCGGAUGAUUUUCAGUUGACUGAGCGGCGGACGGGUGAGUAACGCGUGGGUGACCUGCCCCAUACCGGGGGAUAACAGCUGGAAACGGCUGCUAAUACCGCAUAAGCGCACAGAGCUGCAUGGCUCGGUGUGAAAAACUCCGGUGGUAUGGGAUGGGCCCGCGUCUGAUUAGGCAGUUGGCGGGGUAACGGCCCACCAAACCGACGAUCGGUAGCCGGACUGAGAGGUUGAACGGCCACAUUGGGACUGAGACACGGCCCAGACUCCUACGGGAGGCAGCAGUGGGGAAUAUUGCACAAUGGGGGAAACCCUGAUGCAGCGACGCCGCGUGAAGGAAGAAGUAUCUCGGUAUGUAAACUUCUAUCAGCAGGGAAGAUAAUGACGGUACCUGACUAAGAAGCCCCGGCUAACUACGUGCCAGCCGCCGCGGUAAUUC
This 515-nucleotide ribosomal RNA is filed under the name uncultured bacterium. RNAcentral describes it as "bacterial SSU rRNA". It matches the Rfam family "Bacterial small subunit ribosomal RNA", at positions 9 to 526 of the family's 1533-position model. The record is from RNAcentral.